RNAcentral lists this long non-coding RNA (4074 nucleotides) under Nicotiana benthamiana. RNAcentral's name for it is "long non-coding RNA (NBEN_LNC027531)". The record is from RNAcentral. Lineage: Eukaryota; Viridiplantae; Streptophyta; Magnoliopsida; Solanales; Solanaceae.
UGUCCCUGGACUAUAAGCUCGCUCCAGAAAUGCUGCUGCUACUCAAAUGAUGCUCCAACACCUGGAUCUGUGCAAAAAGAUGCACAAAGUGUAGCAUCAGCACAACUGACUCCACGUGCUGGUAAGUGCCUGGCCUAACCCCAGCAAAGUAAUUAUGAGGCUAAAUAGGACCUACCUAAAACAUGUGCAGAUAUAUACAUAUACAGAAGCAACAGAAAUAACAACAGAAAAUAUCAACUAAAAGGGGAAGGGGCAUAAUCGGGGGAGAUACGGUGAAAACAUAUCAAGGGAUAUAACAACGAAGCUAUCUCAAUACCAUAACUCAUAUAUAAGUGAUCGACGCGCCACACGAUCUCAUUUCUUUAUUCAUAAGUGGACGGCAUGCCACACGUUCCCAUCUCAUAACAUCUCGUGGUCGGCGUGCUACACGAUCCCAAUCAUAAUAUCUCGUGGUCGGCGUGCCACACGAUCCCAAUCAUAAUAUCUCGUGGUCGAUGUGCAACAUGAUCCCAAUCAUAAUAUCUCGUGGUCGGCGUGCCACACGAUCCCAAAAUAAUAUCUCGUGGUCGGCGUGCCACACGAUCCUAAUCCUAAUAUCUUAUGGUCGGCAUGCCACACGAUCCCAUUCAUAUAAUCUCGUGGUUGGCGUGCCACACAAUCCCAAUCAUAAUAUCUCAUGGUCGGCGUGCCACACGAUCCCUUAUCUUUCAACAGAAAACACCAUUUGUCAUACCUCUUUUUUCACUAUACACCCCGCGAUGGGCAUAAAGGAGUUUUUCCAAUUAAAGGACAAUCAGAACGGGAUUUGGUAUUAUUUAUUCAGAGUCGCCACUUGGGAGAUUAAUGUUGUACCAAGUCACCAGUUGAAUCCCGAACCGAGGAAUAUCAUGACUUUGUUAACAGUCUGCGAACAAGAAAUCCGGAUAAGGAAUUAUGUUAACCCGGGAGAAGGUGUUACGCAUUCUCGGGUUUCGUGGUUCUGGCACGGUCGCUCAACUAUUGAAUUUAUCUAUUAUCUGAUUUUAUUACAUGAAGAACCUAUGUGCCAAUUUUUACAUUUUACCGUUUUAUUCAACAUGUUUUAUUUAAAAGAAAAUGAACGUCAUUCAAAACAUGUCUUUGGAUCACGUCACAUGAAAUGCACCCUUAAUUCUAAACACAUUUUGUUCAACGUUUUAGGAUUUGGAUUUGGGUCGCAUGAAAUGCACACCCGAACUUAAGAAGGUAAUUUUAUUAAAAUCAAGUCUAAAAGAGUCUAGCGCGUGAAUAUCUUUUGGGAGGGUCGCAAAAUUUGCUAAACGACCCUUUCCGAUUUUCUAAAUAUUUUUAAACCUUUAUUGAGGGUCCCACAAUUUUGCAUUUUUAUUGCGUGAGGCUUGUCUCAAUUUAUUUUAUGGGGUAAGCCUAAGAGCAACAAUAUUUUCUAUUUUUGUUUUUAUCUCUAGAAGAAAAAGAAAAAUCCUAAAUGAUUAUUAUUAAAAUUCGGGCAAUAAGUUCAAGUCCUGGUCCAAACAAAAGGACGAACCUCUUAGCUUGAACCCGCUACCUAACCCAAAACCCAAAUUUUAAAUAAAUAUUAAACCUUGAAUUGCAUCUUAGAAAUAGGCUCAAGCUAAUAAACCACAUGGGCCAAAAGUUGGCCCAAAUGGAAAACAAGAGCUCAAGAAUAACCAAGAGCCUGCUAGCGGUCAGGGACUUGGGUUCGAAUCCUAAUGAGAGGAAUGAAACAUCGAGCCCCACUGAUUUUCAAAGUAUAGUUAAUGAUUAACAAACAAUUACUGGCUGCAAUUUCCUAGACUAUAUUAUCGAAAUGCAACUACAGAUCCAACUGUCUAUAUUAAGUACUUAACGGCACAUUCAAGCAAUUAUCAAUUCUAAGAUAAGCUACUGCAACUUCAAACCCAGUUCAGCUAUUUUUCCUGAUUUUUAUAGAGGUGAUUUACACAGAAAUAAUAUAACACCUAACUAAAGAUAAUGAUUAACUAAUACUAAAAUACAAGUUCGAAUUUCCAGUUUAGAAUUCUACACAGUCCAUGAUCAUCCUCAAUGAUCUAAUAUCAUCCCUAAGUACAAACUCCAUAAUUAAAAUCAGUAACAGAGUUUAACUAGACGACUGAAAGGAAUUUCGACAUAACAAACUACGUAAUCAUAUAUCAGAAAAAAAUCGAAUUGAGAAAUGCUCUGCACAUUCUAUUGCUAAUGGGAGUUUCCCUUUCAAUCAGGAUAUUACAUUAAAGCACUUGAAUGUGUACCUGGAAAUUGAAUUAAAAUAAGAAGAGAUGAGGGUCGGUAGCAGAUCAAGCAGUUAACAGAGAACAUAGCAGCAGCAAUUUUAACCCAGGAAUGUGUAGCAGAGGUACAACAUCAAAACGACUCUGAAAUAACUCGAUUGAGACAAAAACCCACUCGAAAUCAGUCAUAAGAUAUUUCUGAAGCUUCAAUCACCAGAAACUAACCAAAAAUAGCUAGAAAUAACCUCUACACAACUUGAAAUUUAACAUAGGAUCAAACUUGCCUUGCGAUCAGUCUAAAAUCUCAAUGUAACAGUAGAUGUUUUGGGGUUUUGUUGUUUUUGUUGUUAAUAUUUUUUACUUCUAAGAGAAGUUUUUGAAUUUGCAAUUCAAAAUUUGGGGUGAUGAAUACUUGUGAGAGUGUGGCGAAAUUUUAGGCCUCCAAACUUGAGUGUUAAGGCACAUUUGAUGCCCUUUUAUAGGCAACAAAAAGGGGUAAAUCAGAUUUUUGAUUUCUUUUUUAGUUUCUUUCUAUUUUCGGCUUGGUCCCUUAUUUUUGACUUGUUUCCCAAGCUAGUGCCCUAAGUUUAUUGAAUUCUACACUAAAAUCAUAUUCUAGAAGGCCCUAGGGUAUUCUUCCACCUAUACAAUACUUAUACUACCCUUUUUAUCGUUUUGAAAUUAGUGAUUUUAAUAUAACUAGCCUUUUACAUAUCUAAACUGCCCCUGACUUACCCCUGAAAUUACUAACCCACCCAAACCCCUUUAUUAGAGUUAAAAACUAACUGUAAUUAUCCAUAUCAGCUAUAACCAAUCCACAAACCUAGUUAAAAUGAAUAAAACUAAGCUUAAGACUAAUAAAAUUAUUAACUCAAUAAAAAAAAUUUAAGUUUCAAGGAAUAAAACUCAUAUAUGAGUCAAAAUCAGAACAAAAUUAAAACUAACAAAGAUCAGAAAUAAGAAAUUCAAUAAAUUCAAUUUUUAAAUAAAACAGGCAUGCAAUCAACACUUAACAAAUUCUAAUCCGUCAAUCAAACUUUAAUAAAACAAAUCAAAAUUUUAAAUGAUCAGAAAGCAAAUAAAACCCCUAAUUAAAUCGACGAUUCAACUUAGAAUUAACAAAUAAACAAACAAACAAACAACGGAAAUUAACCUAAGAACUAAACAUUUGACACUUAAUAGUAAUAACCCAAAAACAGAUUAAUGCUAAACUGGACUCUUAAUUAUUAAAAUAAAUUUUAUUUGUUAAGUAGAAGCAAACGAAAGAGAAUCACAAAAAGAAAAGAAAAACUCACUGUUAUAAUCUAAUUUUUCCUUUGAUUUAAACUCCGGAUACCUCUGGUGAUAUUUGAACAUCGCUGAUGGUGAUUUCGUCAUGAGGGAGAUGAAAUGCUGACAUAGUAUCAACUUGAAGCGGUUUUGGGAAAAUAAGGGUUUUUCCUAAAUCUUUGAAUUAAGAUUCGACAGGCCUGGGGAUAAUUCGACGAAAAAGAAGGUCAGAUACGGACAGAGGAGGAGGAGGACAUAGGGUGUCAGUUUGGUGGUGAUUGGGGACGGCGCCGCCGUGGGCGGCGGAGACAGCGGUGACAAAAUCCAACAUUCGAGACUUUUGGUGAUGAUGUAGAGAAAUCCAAGGAUGGAUUUGGAGUGAGGAGGUGAAGGAGGGUUAGUGGUAUAAUAUUGGGGCAAUUUGGAGCAUCGCCACCAGUGGAGGCGAUUUUCGGCCGGCGGGGGUGAGUCUCUGAUGAAUGAGGUGAGGGAUAAGGACGGGGAGCUAGCUGAUCCGACCAUUUUAUACCCCAAACCUAGGCAGUUCCACCCAUUGGAUCGAAACACAUCAAUG